This 253-nucleotide ribosomal RNA is filed under the name uncultured bacterium. RNAcentral describes it as "partial 16S ribosomal RNA". It matches the Rfam family "Bacterial small subunit ribosomal RNA", at positions 524 to 776 of the family's 1533-position model. The record is from RNAcentral.
UACGAAGGGGGCGAGCGUUGUUCGGAUUUACUGGGCGUAAAGGGCGCGCAGGCGGCUCAUUUUGUCAGGCGUGAAAGCCCCGGGCUUAACCUGGGAACUGCGUUUGAUACGGAUGGGCUAGAGUUCGGGAGAGGAGAGUGGAAUUCCCAGUGUAGAGGUGAAAUUCGUAGAUAUUGGGAAGAACACCCGUGGCGAAGGCGGCUCUCUGGGACGGUACCGACGCUGAGACGCGAAAGCGUGGGGAGCGAGCAGG